AUAGAUUGUACUAGCCAACAAGAAAGUGCUUUUAAGGUGAAUGAUAGAGAAGUCGUUCUUACUCCAACCCUCACUCUUGGAGAGUGACAAUCAGUAAGAGGAGAAAAGAUUUCUGGGACUGUUUUGGUAGAGUUUGAAACCCCUUUGGCACCAAAGGAAGCAUCUAUUUGUAAUUCCUUUUCUUUCUUCGUGAUAUUUGUAAUCUUCGAAUCAUGUUUCACUUAAAAAUUUGUGCUUUUCAAUUUUAUAAAGCUUGAGAAGAAAUUUGUUGAAGCUGCUUAAGGGUUUUGGGUUGAGAAGAUAGUUUUUUUUUUUUAAUUAUAAAUAAAAUUAAGUAUCAAAAUAAAAGUUUAGUCGC
RNAcentral lists this long non-coding RNA (358 nucleotides) under Gossypium barbadense (sea-island cotton). RNAcentral's name for it is "long non-coding RNA (GBAR_LNC015011)". Lineage: Eukaryota; Viridiplantae; Streptophyta; Magnoliopsida; Malvales; Malvaceae. The record is from RNAcentral.